UACGGGGGGGCAAGCGUUGUUCGGAAUUACUGGGCGUAAAGGGUUCGUAGGUGGCCAACUAAGUCAGACGUGAAAUCCCUCAGCUUAACUGGGGAACUGCGUCUGAGACUGGAUGGCUUGAGUGCAGGAGAGGAACGCGGAAUUCCAGGUGUAGCGGUGAAAUGCGUAGAUAUCUGGAGGAACACCGGUGGCGAAGGCGGCGUUCUGGACUGCAACUGACACUGAGGAACGAAAGCCAGGGGAGCAAACGGG
Molecule: ribosomal RNA, 252 nt
Filed under: uncultured bacterium
Lineage: Bacteria
Description: partial 16S ribosomal RNA
Rfam family: Bacterial small subunit ribosomal RNA
Source: RNAcentral